UACAGAGGGUGCAAGCGUUGUUCGGAAUUCUUGGGCGUAAAGCGCGUGUAGGCGGCUUUGCAAGUCGGGUGUGAAAGCCCUCAGCUCAACUGAGGAAGUGCGCCCGAAACUACAGAGCUGGAGUCUCGGAGAGGAUCGCGGAAUUCUCGGUGUAGAGGUGAAAUUCGUAGAUAUCGAGAGGAACACCGGUGGCGAAGGCGGCGAUCUGGACGAUGACUGACGCUGAGACGCGAAAGCGUGGGGAGCAAACAGG
Molecule: ribosomal RNA, 253 nt
Filed under: uncultured bacterium
Lineage: Bacteria
Description: partial 16S ribosomal RNA
Rfam family: Bacterial small subunit ribosomal RNA
Source: RNAcentral